RNAcentral lists this long non-coding RNA (1025 nucleotides) under Homo sapiens (human). RNAcentral describes it as "non-protein coding lnc-DLX2-4:8". Lineage: Eukaryota; Metazoa; Chordata; Mammalia; Primates; Hominidae. The record is from RNAcentral.
GAGAGCUGGCCGGCGCCGACCCGGCCUGGGGCAGCGGCCGCAGCUCCCCGCCCGGGACCGCGCAAAAAGGCCCAAGGUCCCGGGCCGCACUCACCGAAGUCCAGGAACUGCUUCAUGGAGAGCGGGGACGGCGAGAAGCGCGCGUAGAAGUCCACCUGGCCCGGAACGCCGCGCUCGGACGCCGGGCUGGAGCCCGAGUCCGAGCUGAAGCUGCGGCUGAAGCCGGCGGCGCGCAGCCCCGGGCCCGGGCCGGCCAAGGCGGCUCCGCGAAGCAGCCGCGCCAGCCUCAUGCCGAGUCCCGCUAGAGAAGCCACAGCCAGUACGCCAGGUUUCCCCGCGCCUCUGCCGAGUGGGUUGAAGGCAAAUACUUGAAGUUGCAAUCGAAGGUCAAGAAAAUGGAAUCAAGAGGUCACAAUCCUUCUCUGAUGAUGGCUUAGAAAGCUGGAAGACACUCAACAUUGAAUCCUGGGGCUCUGUGCCAUGCUUGCUAGGAGAAACAGCCACCAUGAGUCCAUCUUUCAGAUCUCAAGUGAACAGUCAUUCUCCAGCUGGGAUUGAGAACAAGGGGAAGCUGGCCAUAGAGCCAGGUGACCAAAGAUGGAAGACAAAGGGUGGGCUGUGAUUCCCAGAGCUCCAAGCCUUGUUCUGUCUUGUCACACCAACUGUUACUGAUGAACAGGUUUACAAUCUUUGAGGCCUGGCUGACUCAUGGAACAACUAGGACAAGAAACAAAGACAAAGAACACACACCUGACUGGACAGAGAUAAACCAAGAGCUGAGAGUUUUGGAAACAAGGCUGGAGCUGAGGAAAAGGACUGGGAACACGAACCUGUACAAACAACAAAUUCUUACAACAGAAAACAAGCCACUCCUGGCCAUCAAGAAACCCACAAAUCUCAGAAGCAAAAGCAAAACAAAUGAAAAUACAAACCAAAUAGUCUCUAUUACCUUCAUGCCUGUUGGGUCCCAAUAAAGGAAUCAUUCCAAUAAAGGAUUCAACAUAUUUUUUUUAAACCAAUAUCAU